GCGUUGAGGAAGUCCAGCCUGCCUGCCGGCCGGCCAUGCUCAUGCGGCAUGGUCUCCUCAUCAGCCCUCGAGAUCUCGCGGACAGGCAGUCGUGCAGGUGCCCCAAGAUCCCAGCUCAACCACCACACCACACCACUUCUUUUUUUUCCCCACGAAUUGAUUGCCAACUCCCUUCUGCUGCUAGCGUGCAGUGCAGGCGUUGCAGGUCCCGGCCACGCAGGCAUGUGCUCGCCUCGCCCGCUUCCUGCCCCGAUGCGAUCCAAUCCAAAUUCCAAUCCAACCACCUUUUCAUCCCAACCGUCAACCGACGCUGCCGGCCGGUGCGUGCGCGUAAGCUCCCUCAGCUACUGCGGCGGCGACGGCGACGGCGACUCUCCGAGUCCAACCGACGGGGGGAGCACGAGCCCAGGCGAACGGCGCCAGUGCAAGGGAAUCGAAUAGAUGAUCUGGGCGUGAUCGGCCACAGCGGCAGGCACGGCACAAUCAACGCCAAGGGAGCCGGGAGAAACAGCAGGUCAGUUGAGGAUGGAUGUAUGUAUCAUGCGUUCCAGCGGGAUGGUUGGUGCCGGGAGGAGGGGCCGGGGCCAGGGCCUGGGCGAGCCGUGCCAGCGCCUACCGCCCGUUGUGAUCGGCCGUGCACGCGGCGGCAACCUCGCUUGGCCCGCCAAGCGGACCACACAUGCGCCAGCGCCGGCCGGCCGGUUCGGUGCUGUGGUGUGUGCUGGACUGGACUGGACUGGACUGGAUCCGUUUCGUCUCGGCAAGGGGAAAAAGAGAGAGAGAGAGAGAAGUCGACGGCAUGCCCCAUGCAGGCCCCGGCUCCAGUCGUUCGUUCGGUGGCGCGCGGCGUGCCUACCUUCCGUACGGGCUCGGAGUGCCUCCACGCCGGCGCGCGGCAUGGCAUGUGCCUUUGCCUGGUUUCUUUCGUCGUCGGUUGGUGCCGAUGCUUCCUUCCUUCGUUUCGUGUAACGGGCAAGAAACCCCCCCCCCCCCCCCCGCGCGUCUUGCGGGUGGAGGAACUCCUGGCGUCUUUGCAAACGCGAAUAUAAAUAUAAAUGCAUGAUGACGUCACGACAUCAUAAAAAGUUACCAUACACGUCUUUAUAGGAAGACGACGAAGAAGCCACGUCUUUAUAGACGUGUUUGGUGGGGGGCACAAGGAUGAAAUCCAAGUACGCUCUUCGUAUUCGUAGGAGAUCAUUUGUUUUGGUCCAUUCGUUUUUCUAGACCUUAUCUAUGUACAAGCCUUUGUUAA
RNAcentral lists this unclassified non-coding RNA (1255 nucleotides) under Zea mays. RNAcentral's name for it is "misc RNA Zm00001eb335150". The record is from RNAcentral. Lineage: Eukaryota; Viridiplantae; Streptophyta; Magnoliopsida; Poales; Poaceae.